CCGUGCAGCCGGGGAGUUAGCGGUGCCCUGUACCUACAAUCCGCUACAGUAGGGGUGAUACCAAUCCGAGGGUUUUUUAUUGCGAAGCUGCCCUCUAUAAGUGGCGUUGACGUUUGGGUCUCGCGCAACAGGAAUCUAUGAAUCGUGUCAGGUCAGGAAUGGAGCAGCACUAAGUAGAACCUUCUGUGUGCCGUGAGGCAGCCUGAAUUGAGUUAACUGUAGAGGUAACGUUCGUGGUAGGAAUUCAAAGUGCGGUGCACGG
Robinsoniella sp. RHS is the source of this 262-nucleotide non-coding RNA. It matches the Rfam family "Bacterial large signal recognition particle RNA". From Rfam's summary of the family: The signal recognition particle (SRP) is a universally conserved ribonucleoprotein involved in the co-translational targeting of proteins to membranes. Archaeal SRP consists of a 7S RNA and homologues of the eukaryotic SRP19 and SRP54 proteins. The record is from Rfam. NCBI's taxonomy places the organism in Bacteria, Bacillati, Bacillota, Clostridia, Lachnospirales, Lachnospiraceae.